This is a non-coding RNA of Pelodiscus sinensis (Chinese soft-shelled turtle), 2892 nucleotides long. Lineage: Eukaryota; Metazoa; Chordata; Testudines; Trionychidae. The record is from RefSeq and is a predicted model, not a curated record.
CUUCCCAAUAGGCAAUAACUAGGCAGAAAUUUCCUCUCUUACUCCCUUAAUGGGAGCAGAAUUGUCCAACUUUACAAUGUAUCCCUUGUAGAAAGUUAAAUGAUUUGUAUUUAAGAUUUCUUACAAAACAGGGAUUGUUAAAAUUUUUCCAUUUGUUUUUAGUCAUUUUUUAAAAUGAGAAUUCCAUCAAGUAUAUUUUUUUCCUUAAGUGUAUAUUUUAAACUCUUACCAUUCACUAUGUUCUAGCAAAAAAAAGGGCUAGUCAAUUUGGCUUCCAGUUACAUUUUCUUCUAGUUUUCCAACCUUAAGCAUUGAUUUAGCUGUGCUAAAACAGAGCACUACUCCAAAAUUCUCCGUUUUAUUUAGUUUUCUAUGAAGUUUAAUGAGAAGCAAUCCUAUUCCAUGCUCAUCCUGUUGAUCUGGCUUGUCUUGGUUCAGUGUUCAUGGCCACUGCAGCUCCAGCAGACACAGUCAGGGGAGGUCUGCAUGUCCCCCAGCUGAGGCAAUUCUAGGUUCCUCUGCACCCUGUGCUCCCCAGAGUGAGGAAUGCAGCAAACUGUGCACUUUCCCCUGGCUCCCUGAUGAAGGGCAACCCUGCAAUGUCCCCAUAUUAAUGCCUAUCAAUCAGGGCUGACAAUUACCACACCUCACCCACUACUGUCAUCGUAUUUCUCUGUAAACCUGUUGUGUAGUAUCAAGUAAAAGCUGGUGACUGGCAAUCAAUUAUAUCAUCAUGUUUUGUGUGUGGGUGCUUACCAGAAGAUUUCAGUGUCUGGAUACCAGCAGGUGUCUUACUUCAGAGGCUGGACCAGCCAGACUCUGAAGUAAGACACCGGACUGCCCGAAGGACCUGGAACUGUACAGAGGUGCCUUUCCGACCUGGCCCAGGAGCCCAUCCUUUGCUGAGUUGGAGUCCCCAGCAAGCCAAAGGGAUGUUGUCAGCCUUCUCUUGCCUUUUCUUUUUAUAUCACCUGUAAUAUCUAAUAAACCUUGCAUUUAUUUGCAUUAAGCAAUUUGUGUCUUCUUGGUUACCCUCCGAGCCUGAGAGCAGAGUCUAGCUGGCCCAGCCUCUGAAAUAAGACAGCAGGUCAUCCGGACUCUUGAGAUGAAGAUUUUUGGGGAAUUAACUAAAGGAAAUAACUUAAGGAACAGAGAGGUCAGCACUAUUUGCAUCUAUGAACGAUGGAUCCCCAGCUCCGUGGAUUAGUGCUGCUGAAAAAGACUGUAGAGGCAGAAGGGCAACAAGGUGACCCGUCAUUCUGGACAACCCAAGAAAACUCUACUAGGCCGCUAAGAAGAAAGAGAAGUUACCAAGUAGAAGAUAAAUAAAGUUAUGAGAAGAGUCACUUCUCAGCUGUGGGCAGGGAGAAGUCUGAGUGCAGUUUCAAGCAGCCGUUUAUGCAAGCUUGUUCUUUGUUACAAAAAAUUCUAUUUUGAUUUCUACACACUAGAGCAGGUUUCCUGAAUUUCACAAGACUGGAUUUUAUUUUGAAAGUCAGACCGAUGGUGGUGUCAAGUUACAUUUCCUGCUUCAUCACCCAACGAUUUCUAUAUCUUUAAGCAAACGCACCAAUCAGUCCCAUAUGAAUGUCACAGCACACUGCAAAAAUAUUAGACUUUUUCAGCACACAUUUACCAAUGCCCCUGAAGUGCCAAUUCAAUAGUACAAGACUAAAAAGCAAUUGUGCUGGGGAACCGGAGGAACGAUGCAUCAGAUGACUCAAUGCCUUACUGCUAGACAACUCAAGAGCAGCCAUUUAUGGAAGAGCAACCUUGUAAGAUUCCUGAAUCCAGAAUGCCUCAAUAAAAAAUUUCAUGUUAGUAUAUGGUUUGCACAGGAUAAGCAAAAAGGGAGGAUAUAUGUACUCUGCAAUUAUCUGAGCUGGGCAACUUUCUAACAGAGAGGGAAUAUAAUGCCCUGGCCAGCCAGUGCUCAUCCAGGAACUUCGAUUGCAAACGUCUGUGGCAGUAUUCAUUGCUGCUGCUCCUGAAACUAGAUUAAUAGAACUCGUAUGUUCAUUUCUGUGUCCCUCCUGAAACUAGAUUAAUAGAACUCAUUUGUUCAUUUCUGUGUCCUUUACUUAUUUGUCUGGUAAAAUACAGAACACCUCUAAUGUCUAUCGUAAAAGAGGGCAGGCUUUCCCUUAAGUUAUAUACAGAGCCCCAUCUUUUCUAGGAUUUUGUAACUGCACUAUUUGCCACAGUCUCAGCCAGUCCUGUGCUUCAGAAUGUAAGGUUCUACUACAAUGAAGUUGCAGCCCUCAAAGUUGUGAAGAAACUACUGAAAAAAAUAAAGUAUCGCUGAGGCAAAUGCUGUCCUAAGCUUGCAAGUAGUUGGAAGCAAAAGCGCCAAGAGGUGUGAAAUUCCUCAUUCAUCUUAAUGGUUUAAUGCAAUGCUGACAAUUUACAUAUGAACACAACUCACUGCUAAUCAGCUUUCAUCUUCACAAGAACAUCCAUCUAAUACGCUUAUUACACAAUUUCAAACUGCCUCUUCAAAAGACCCAACAUGUCCCUUCCCAGUUGCCAAAAUAUACAGCUUGUUCCCUCUGGCUUACAUGAUACAAAUCUGAAUUUUCAGGAUACAAAUCUGCAUGAUAUGAGAAGGGCAGGGAAAAGCAUAGAACUAAAUUGAAUUCAAUAUCAGGAUGAAGGAGCUAAUGAUCCUACUCUAUUUUUCACAUUCAACUACUUUAAACAUUUAUCUGAAGCUGCUGCAUAAUUUUGAGUCUGCCACACCAGAAAGCUACAGAAUCCAGAAGCCUUGCCACAGAAUUCUGGUUCAGCUUGUUGUAAUGCAGGGCUACUCAACACGUGGCCCAUGGGCCGCAUGCGGCCUGCAGCCCAUUUCUUUGCAGCCUGCAGUGCGGUUUGGGUUUACGCGGGGCUCAC